UACGUAGGGGGCAAGCGUUGUCCGGAAUUAUUGGGCGUAAAGCGCGCGCAGGCGGCCUUGUAAGUCCGGUGUUUAAACUGGGGGCUCAACCUCCAGUCGCAUCGGAAACUGCAAAGCUUGAGUGCAGAAGAGGAAAGUGGAAUUCCAUGUGUAGCGGUGAAAUGCGUAGAGAUGUGAAGGAACACCAGUGGCGAAGGCGACUUUCUGGUCUGUAACUGACGCUGAGGCGCGAAAGCGUGGGGAGCAAACAGG
This 252-nucleotide unclassified non-coding RNA is filed under the name uncultured Paenibacillaceae bacterium. RNAcentral's name for it is "contains 16S-23S intergenic spacer region". It matches the Rfam family "Bacterial small subunit ribosomal RNA", at positions 524 to 776 of the family's 1533-position model. The record is from RNAcentral. Lineage: Bacteria; Bacillati; Bacillota; Bacilli; Caryophanales; Paenibacillaceae.